RNAcentral lists this ribosomal RNA (468 nucleotides) under Gemella morbillorum. RNAcentral describes it as "bacterial SSU rRNA". It matches the Rfam family "Bacterial small subunit ribosomal RNA", at positions 28 to 488 of the family's 1533-position model. Lineage: Bacteria; Bacillati; Bacillota; Bacilli; Caryophanales; Gemellaceae. The record is from RNAcentral.
GACGAACGCUGGCGCGUGCCUAAUACAUGCAAGUCGAGCGAAGUUUUUCUGGUGCUUGCACUAGAAAAACUUAGCGGCGAACGGGUGAGUAACACGUAAAGAACCUGCCUCAUAGACUGGGACAACUAUUGGAAACGAUAGCUAAUACCGGAUAACCAGCAUUAACUGCAUGGUUGAUGUUUGAAAGUUGGUUAUGCUAAACACUAUGAGAUGGCUUUGCGGUGCAUUAGCUAGUUGGUGGGGUAAAAGGCCCACCAAGGCGACGAUGCAUAGCCGACCUGAGAGGGUGAUCGGCCACACUGGGACUGAGACACGGCCCAGACUCCUACGGGAGGCAGCAGUAGGGAAUCUUCCGCAAUGGGCGAAAGCCCUGACGGAGCAACGCCGCGUGAGUGAAGAAGGAUUUCGGUUCGUAAAGCUCUGUUGUUAGGGAAGAAUGGAUAUGUAGUAACUAUACAUGUACGAAGA